This 345-nucleotide ribosomal RNA is filed under the name uncultured Lentisphaerota bacterium. RNAcentral describes it as "bacterial SSU rRNA". It matches the Rfam family "Bacterial small subunit ribosomal RNA", at positions 29 to 351 of the family's 1533-position model. The record is from RNAcentral. Lineage: Bacteria; Pseudomonadati; Lentisphaerota.
AACGAACGCUGGCGGCGUGGAUUAGGCAUGCAAGUCGAACGAGAACCGGAGCUAUAGCAAUAUAAUUCCGGGGACAGUGGCGAAAGGGUGAGUAACGCGCGGGUAAUCUGCCCUUAAGUUGGGGAUAGCUCUGCGAAAGCGGAAUUAAUACCGAAUGUGGUCGUUCUCCGCAUGGAGGACUAUCUAAAGCCGGGGACCGUAAGGCCUGGCGCUUGAGGAUGAGCCCACGUACUAUCAGCUUGUUGGUGAGGUGACGGCUCACCAAGGCUAUGACGGUUAGCUGGUCUGAGAGGAUGGUCAGCCACACUGGGACUGAGACACUGCCCAGACUCCUACGGGAGGCUG